This 71-nucleotide transfer RNA is filed under the name Parcubacteria bacterium RAAC4_OD1_1. It matches the Rfam family "tRNA". Rfam says of the family: Transfer RNA (tRNA) molecules are approximately 80 nucleotides in length. The record is from Rfam by way of RNAcentral. RNAcentral also lists the same sequence under 1 other name. Lineage: Bacteria; Candidatus Parcubacteria.
UGGGAGAUCGUCUAAUGGUAGGACGACGGCUUCUGGAGCCGUCUAUCUAGGUUCGAGUCCUAGUCUCCCAG